This 497-nucleotide ribosomal RNA is filed under the name uncultured bacterium. RNAcentral's name for it is "partial 16S ribosomal RNA". It matches the Rfam family "Bacterial small subunit ribosomal RNA", at positions 28 to 507 of the family's 1533-position model. The record is from RNAcentral.
GAUGAACGCUGGCGGCGUGCCUAAUACAUGCAAGUCGAGCGAACAGACGAGGAGCUUGCUCCUCUGACGUUAGCGGCGGACGGGUGAGUAACACGUGGAUAACCUACCUAUAAGACUGGGAUAACUUCGGGAAACCGGAGCUAAUACCGGAUAAUAUAGUGAACCGCAUGGUUCAAUAGUGAAAGACGGUUUUGCUGUCACUUAUAGAUGGAUCCUCGCCGCAUUAGCUAGUUGGUAAGGUAACGGCUUACCAAGGCAACGAUGCGUAGCCGACCUGAGAGGGUGAUCGGCCACACUGGAACUGAGACACGGUCCAGACUCCUACGGGAGGCAGCAGUAGGGAAUCUUCCGCAAUGGGCGAAAGCCUGACGGAGCAACGCCGCGUGAGUGAUGAAGGUCUUCGGAUCGUAAAACUCUGUUAUUAGGGAAGAACAAAUGUGUAAGUAACUAUGCACGUCUUGACGGUACCUAAUCAGAAAGCCACGGCUAACUACGUG